RNAcentral lists this ribosomal RNA (772 nucleotides) under uncultured Neocallimastigales. RNAcentral describes it as "partial large subunit ribosomal RNA". It matches the Rfam family "Eukaryotic large subunit ribosomal RNA", at positions 24 to 645 of the family's 3401-position model. Lineage: Eukaryota; Fungi; Neocallimastigomycota; Neocallimastigomycetes; Neocallimastigales. The record is from RNAcentral.
GUAGUCUCGCACAGAUGCAUAUCAAUAAGCGGAGGAAAAGAAACUAACAAGGAUUCCCCUAGUAACGGCGAGUGAAGCGGGAAGAGCUCAAAUUUGAAAUCUUAAAGGGUUUCCCUUUACGAAUUGUAGUUUAAAGAAGUGUUUUCUGUUGAGGUUUUGGUAAAAGUUCUUUGGAAUAGGACAUCAUAGAGGGUGAGAAUCCCGUAUUUGACCUUACUUUCAACUUUGUGAUACACUUUCAAAGAGUCGGAUUGUUUGGGAAUGCAGUCCAAAAUGGGUGGUAAAUUUCAUCUAAAGCUAAAUAUUGGCGAGAGACCGAUAGCGAACAAGUACCGUGAGGGAAAGAUGAAAAGAACUUUGAAAAGAGAGUUAAACAGUACGUGAAAUUGUCAAAAGGGAAGCGUUUGACACCAGUGUUGCUUUUCUGAAAAUCAAUUAAAGAACUGUUUAUGCUAAGCUGUUUAGACUUUAUCAGCUAUCUGUUUAGUUUUGAGCUUUUCUUUAAUGCACUUUUCAGUUAACAAGUCAACAUCAAUUUCUUUUGCUGUAAAAAAGCUUGAGGAAGGUGGCUUGAGAUUCGUCUUAAGUGUUUAUAGCCUCUUGCCUAUGCAGUCGGAGAGAUUGAGGUCUGCAGCGUAGAUCCUUCGGGGCUAAAUGCAUUUGUGCUAAGUUAUAGCAUUUUAUAGACAACUUGUUGACUAUGAUUUGUCUUGUAGCUUACUCGCUUAUGUUAUUUUACCUACGCUUAGGAUGUUGAUGUGAUACUGCGAGC